AUGCCCCCCGCCCCUUUGGAGACACGUCACCAGCCUCCUGACAGCUUUGGCAGUGGCAUCCCUGUCUGCCUGAUUCAAGCAGAAGGAGUGUUCUGGGGCAGGCGGCUGCUGUGGGGACCUCUUCCAAAGCAUGACGAUGAGGGGAAGUCACCAUUCUGUCGGCCACAGUCCUUGCAGCCAGCCCUCGCCCUCUCCCAGGUACAAGGCUGGAUCUUGGUCUCUGCUCGUCCCAUCAAAACAGACAAGGCGCUCAGUCCACUGAACCUGGUUGUCUGCAGAGCUCUGAAAAGGAGUCACAGUUGCAGGAACACAGGUGUGGCUGCGAGAGCCAGGGCCACCACAAGCAAAUGCGGAGCACUGUGCGAUGCAUCAGCGGGGAAUCCACAAGGCAGGUAG
RNAcentral lists this long non-coding RNA (396 nucleotides) under Oryctolagus cuniculus (rabbit). RNAcentral describes it as "lncRNA (ENSOCUG00000034964.1)". Lineage: Eukaryota; Metazoa; Chordata; Mammalia; Lagomorpha; Leporidae. The record is from RNAcentral.